RNAcentral lists this transfer RNA (62 nucleotides) under Rhinebothrium taeniuri. Its description in RNAcentral is "tRNA-Gln". Lineage: Eukaryota; Metazoa; Platyhelminthes; Cestoda; Rhinebothriidea; Rhinebothriidae. The record is from RNAcentral.
UUUAAUGUGGUGUAUUUGCAUAUUACAUUUUGGUUGUAGGGGCAGUUGGUUACUCAUUAUUU